This 68-nucleotide transfer RNA is filed under the name uncultured Paenibacillus sp. It matches the Rfam family "tRNA". From Rfam's summary of the family: Transfer RNA (tRNA) molecules are approximately 80 nucleotides in length. Their secondary structure includes four short double-helical elements and three loops (D, anti-codon, and T loops). Further hydrogen bonds mediate the characteristic L-shaped molecular structure. tRNAs have two regions of fundamental functional importance: the anti-codon, which is responsible for specific mRNA codon recognition, and the 3' end, to which the tRNAs corresponding amino acid is attached (by aminoacyl-tRNA synthetases). tRNAs cope with the degeneracy of the genetic code in two manners: having more than one tRNA (with a specific anti-codon) for a particular amino acid; and 'wobble' base-pairing, i.e. permitting non-standard base-pairing at the 3rd anti-codon position. The record is from RNAcentral. Lineage: Bacteria; Bacillati; Bacillota; Bacilli; Caryophanales; Paenibacillaceae.
CGUUGUAGCUCAACUGGUAGAGCAACUGACUUGUAAUCAGUAGGUUGGGGGUUCAAGUCCUCUCGACG